UAACGCGUGAGGAACCUGCCUCAAAGAGGGGGACAACAGUUGGAAACGACUGCUAAUACCGCAUAAGCCCACGACCCGGCAUCGGGUUGAGGGAAAAGGAGCAAUCCGCUUUGAGAUGGCCUCGCGUCCGAUUAGCUAGUUGGUGAGGUAAUGGCCCACCAAGGCAACGAUCGGUAGCCGGACUGANAGGUUGAACGGCCACAUUGGGACUGAGACACGGCCCAGACUCCUACGGGAGGCAGCAGUGGGGAAUAUUGCACAAUGGGGGAAACCCUGAUGCAGCGACGCCGCGUGGAGGAAGAAGGUCUUCGGAUUGUAAACUCCUGUUGUUGAGGAAGAUAAUGACGGUACUCAACAAGGAAGUGACGGCCAACUACGUGCCAGCAGCCGCGGUAAAACGUAGGUCACAAGCGUUGUCCGGAAUUACUGGGUGUAAAGGGAGCGCAGGCGGGAAGACAAGUUGGAAGUGAAAUCUAUGGGCUCAACCCAUAAACUGCUUUCAAAACUGUUUUUCUUGAGUAGUGCAGAGGUAGGCGGAAUUCCCGGUGUANCGGUGGAAUGCGUAGAUAUCGGGAGGAACACCAGUGGCGAAGGCGGCCUACUGGGCACCAACUGACGCUGAGGCUCGAAAGUGUGGGUAGCAAACAGGAUUAGAUACCCUGGUAGUCCACACCGUAMACGAUGAUUACUAGGUGU
Molecule: ribosomal RNA, 696 nt
Filed under: uncultured bacterium
Lineage: Bacteria
Description: bacterial SSU rRNA
Rfam family: Bacterial small subunit ribosomal RNA
Source: RNAcentral